Long non-coding RNA from Jaculus jaculus (lesser Egyptian jerboa), 484 nucleotides. RefSeq lists it as uncharacterized. The record is from RefSeq and is a predicted model, not a curated record. NCBI's taxonomy places the organism in Eukaryota, Metazoa, Chordata, Mammalia, Rodentia, Dipodidae. The transcript is spliced from 2 exons.
UUGAACUGGGCCAGCAGGCUUUGCAAGCAAGUAUCUUUAACUGCUGAGCUGUUUUCCCAGGCCCUCCCAGACCUUCUGACAAAGAUGUUGCUUCUGUGGCUGGGGACAUAGCUCAGUGGUCGAGCCCUUGCCUCGCACGCACACGCAGGCUCUGAGCUGGACCCGCCCAGCUGCUUCGGAGUCACUGUCUUUUCAUGGUGCUCUCGAUGUAGGACUCCAGCAGGAAGAUGGUUUCAUCCACCUGGAUCUCACUGGCAUCUAACCUGAGGGAAAAGUUGCACCUCCUCUGCUCCUGUGGCCUGCAUCGAUGCAAGGAUGGCUUCGACCCUCUGAGACUUUUCUAGCAGACGCCUAUCGGACAAACAGAACUCUGAGGCAUGCUCCUGGGAGAUCCUCUUGCCAUUCAUUUCUCAAGCACAGUGCUUCUCUUUACCAUGUUUUAUCUACAGACGUUUUCUAUAAACUGAAAUUACGUAUGAUCUCA